CUUGCGCUGCUUCGGUCAAUACGGUCGAACCAACACUUCUUUACCGGGAGCUCUACACCGUUCGGUGGAAUGGAAUCCCCUUCGGGGGAAGCACGAAGCCAAUGUGCGGGCACCCACCUGCUGAGGCAGGUUCACCGCACCGAGGCGCGCGAGGCGGGGUUAUU
This 164-nucleotide non-coding RNA is filed under the name Actinomycetota bacterium. RNAcentral's name for it is "6S RNA". It matches the Rfam family "6S / SsrS RNA". Rfam says of the family: E. coli 6S RNA was the first non coding RNA to be sequenced, but its function was unknown until recently. It consists of 184 nucleotides that fold into an extended hairpin structure with a large single-stranded internal bulge. The 6S RNA specifically associates with RNA polymerase holoenzyme containing the sigma70 specificity factor. The record is from RNAcentral. Lineage: Bacteria; Bacillati; Actinomycetota.